CCUACGGGAGGCAGCAGUGGGGAAUAUUGGGCAAUGGGCGCAAGCCUGACCCAGCAACGCCGCGUGAAGGAAGAAGGCUUUCGGGUUGUAAACUUCUUGUCUAAGGGACGAAGCAAGUGACGGUACCUGAGGAAUAAGCCACGGCGAACUAAGUGCCAGCAGCCGCGGUAAGACGUAGGUGGCAAGCGGUAUCCGGAUUUAAUGGGUGUAAAGGGCGUGGAGAGGGGAAAGCAAUUAAGAUGUGAAAACCACGGGCUCAACCUGUGGCCUUCAUUUGCAACUGUUUUUGUUGAGUACUGGAGCGGCAGACGGAAUUCCUAGUGUAGCGGUGAAAUGCGUAGAUAUUAGGAGGAACACCAGUGGCGAAGGCGGUCUGCUGGACAGCAACUGACGCUGAGGCGCGCAAGCGUGGGGAGCAAACAGGAUUAGAUACCCCAGUAGUC
Molecule: ribosomal RNA, 443 nt
Filed under: uncultured bacterium
Lineage: Bacteria
Description: partial 16S ribosomal RNA
Rfam family: Bacterial small subunit ribosomal RNA
Source: RNAcentral